GUAAACAGUGAUGAAAUAAUAUUGCAUAAAUGAUUAAAUAAUCUAGAGAAAACCAUAGAUAAAAACUUCAGGUAGCCAAUGGCAGAGAGAGGGGUGAACUCUGAAGAAAUAUCAGGAAAAUUAAUGGUUUGUGCAAAAAACUCUACAAAAUAUGGAGCAGAACUUCAAUCACAGCGUAUGGGGGUACUGUUGGCUUUUGGUGUUCCUGCCUGCUCUGUUCAAGUGCUGUGGGAGUGCACCUAGAUAACAAGAAGCUUGAUGUCACCAAGGGAAUGAAUGGAAAGGUGUUAUGGUAAAAUGGAGGAGAAAUAUUGAACCGGCUUCGUGUGGCAAAGAAAAUAGGAGGAGGAGGACAGCAGAUGUGAGCAUCUCUGAACCAGGAAGUUCUCAAGGCGCAUUUCCAUCUUGAAGAUGUGCCAGGACAGAUAAGAGCACACGACACAACAAGAAAACUUAUUGGAGAGGCAAGAUUGCUUGUUUUUAAUCCCGUGAUAAAACAAAGGUUGCCGUUGCAUUUUGCAUCUGCAGAUCUAGUCCCCAGUACCUUCGUUAGCCCCAGUUUCGAGGUCUGAGUUGCGACGCUUUGUAUUUUCGAUCGGACGCCAAUUUAUUUUUGACCCGUUCUUACUCAUUAUAGCCGAUAGAUGGCAGCAAAUGACCACAGAUCUUCCGUUCCUAUCGUAGCCUGCUCCUCCUCGAUAGCUUUAUGUGGAAUUUUCCUAUUUGAAACCGAAACGGUGCUGAUUCCGCAGUAGCAGAACGCAGUACGAGGCAGCAGACCCGAUUUAACAUGUUAGAGCGUUAAGGCCAGUGAUGGAACUGUCUGUUGCGUUCCUGUUUCCAGCGAUGCCGGUGUGACCCGUUGUUCUGUGCCGAGCUGCACGCUUGUUUCUGCAGCUACCUGAGACAUCUUGGAAAAGCACUUUCUUGAGCGCUGAUCUACUUGCAAUUUCCCUGUAGUCUUUACACCAAAACACGUAAACAACUCAGGUUGUGGUGCUCUAC
Molecule: long non-coding RNA, 1005 nt
Organism: Gallus gallus (chicken)
Lineage: Eukaryota; Metazoa; Chordata; Aves; Galliformes; Phasianidae
Source: Ensembl